This 497-nucleotide ribosomal RNA is filed under the name uncultured bacterium. RNAcentral's name for it is "partial 16S ribosomal RNA". It matches the Rfam family "Bacterial small subunit ribosomal RNA", at positions 28 to 507 of the family's 1533-position model. The record is from RNAcentral.
GAUGAACGCUGGCGGCGUGCCUAAUACAUGCAAGUCGAGCGAACAGACGAGGAGCUUGCUCCUCUGACGUUAGCGGCGGACGGGUGAGUAACACGUGGAUAACCUACCUAUAAGACUGGGAUAACUUCGGGAAACCGGAGCUAAUACCGGAUAAUAUAUUGAACCGCAUGGUUCAAUAGUGAAAGACGGUUUUGCUGUCACUUAUAGAUGGAUCCGCGCCGCAUUAGCUAGUUGGUAAGGUAACGGCUUACCACGGCGACGAUGCGUAGCCGACCUGAGAGGGUGAUCGGCCACACUGGAACUGAGACACGGUCAAGACUCCUACGGGAGGCAGCAGUAGGGAAUCUUCCGCAAUGGGCGAAAGCCUGACGGAGCAACGCCGCGUGAGUGAUGAAGGUCUUCGGAUCGUAAAACUCUGUUAUUAGGGAAGAACAAAUGUGUAAGUAACUAUGCACGUCUUGACGGUACCUAAUCAGAAAGCCACGGCUAACUACGUG